This 270-nucleotide ribosomal RNA is filed under the name uncultured archaeon. Its description in RNAcentral is "partial 16S ribosomal RNA". It matches the Rfam family "Archaeal small subunit ribosomal RNA", at positions 477 to 746 of the family's 1478-position model. The record is from RNAcentral.
CAGCGCCACAAGUGGCGAUCAUUUUUAUUUGGCCUAAAGCGUCCGUAGCUGGUUAAGUAAAUCUCUUGUGAAAUUGUUUAGCUUAACUAAACAGCGUGCAGGAGAGACUGCUUAGCUAGGGACCGGGAGGAGUCAGAGGUAUGCUGGGGGGAGCGGUAAAAUGCAAUAAUCCUCGGUAGACCACCUGUGGCGAAGGCGUCUGACUAGAACGGGUCCGACAGUGAGGAACGAAAGCCAGGGGAGCAAACCGGAUUAGAGACCCGAGUAGUC